AUUGAACGCUGGCGGCAUGCCUAACACAUGCAAGUCGCACGCGAAAGGGGGCAACCCUGAGUAGAGUGGCGGACGGGUGAGUAACGCGUAGGAAUCUACCUGGUAGUGGGGGACAACCCGGUGAAAACCGGGCUAAUACCGCAUACGAUCCACGGAUGAAAGCAGGGGACCGCAAGGCCUUGCGCUAUCAGAUGAGCCUGCGUCGGAUUAGCUAGUUGGUGGGGUAAAGGCCCACCAAGGCGACGACCCGUAGCUGGUUUGAGAGAACGACCAGCAACACUGGGACUGAGACACGGCCCAGACUCCUACGGGAGGCAGCAGUGGGGAAUAUUGGACAGUGGGGGCAACCCUGAUCCAGCAAUGCCGCGUGUGUGAAGAAGGCCUUCGGGUUGUAAAGCACUUUCGGUGGGGACAAACAAGGUGGAGCUAACAUCUCCGCCUCUGAUGGUACCCAAAGAAGAAGCACCGGCUAACUCUGUGCCAGCCGCCGCCGUAA
RNAcentral lists this ribosomal RNA (496 nucleotides) under uncultured bacterium. RNAcentral describes it as "partial 16S ribosomal RNA". It matches the Rfam family "Bacterial small subunit ribosomal RNA", at positions 29 to 523 of the family's 1533-position model. The record is from RNAcentral.